Trachymyrmex cornetzi is the source of this 223-nucleotide long non-coding RNA. RefSeq lists it as uncharacterized. The transcript is spliced from 3 exons. NCBI's taxonomy places the organism in Eukaryota, Metazoa, Arthropoda, Insecta, Hymenoptera, Formicidae. The record is from RefSeq and is a predicted model, not a curated record.
UAUAUCUUUCGUAACAGAUUUUCUAGAAACUGUGUUUUCAAAUAGUAUAUCCUGUUGAAAACUUCCAGGUGGGUUCCCAUGGAAACUUGUGAAGAUUCAUAUAGGCUAUUCAAAAUCCAUAUGAAAAUCCUUGUGGUGAAUAAAAAUCCAUCUCGAAAUAUACAUGGUGUAUAAAAAUCAAUACGGAGAUCUAUAUGGUGUAUAAAGAUGUAUAAAUAUUAUU